AUGAGUUAAGUAUAAACCCCUUUACAAGUAUCAAUUGGAGGGCAAGUCUGGUGCCAGCAGCCGCGGUAAUUCCAGCUCCAAUAGCGUAUAUUAAAGUUGUUGCAGUUAAAAAGCUCGUAGUUGGAUUUCUGUUAAUAAUUUAUAUAUAAUAUUUUAACAUAUUUAUAUAAUAUUAACAUAAUUCAUAUUACUAUAUUUAUGUGUAGUAUAUGAAAUUUUACUUUGAGAAAAUUAGAGUGCUUAAAGCAGGCUUUUAUGCCUUGAAUACUAGAGCAUGGAAUAAUAUUAAAGAUUUUUAUCUUUCUUUAUUGGUUCUAAGAUAGAAAUAAUGAUUAAUAGGGACAGUUGGGGGCAUUUGUAUUUAACAGUUAGAGGUGAAAUUCUUAGAUUUGUUAAAGACAAACUAAUGCGAAAGCAUUUGCCAAGGAUGUUUUCAUUAAUCAAGAACGAGAGUUAGGGGAUCGAAGACGAUCAGAUACCGUCGUAGU
Molecule: ribosomal RNA, 488 nt
Filed under: Cryptosporidium ditrichi
Lineage: Eukaryota; Apicomplexa; Conoidasida; Eucoccidiorida; Cryptosporidiidae
Description: SSU rRNA
Rfam family: Eukaryotic small subunit ribosomal RNA
Source: RNAcentral